UGAGGAAUAUUGGUCAAUGGACGCAAGUCUGAACCAGCCAAGUAGCGUGCAGGAUGACGGCCCUAUGGGUUGUAAACUGCUUUUCUAUGGGGAUAAAGUGGGGAACGUGUUCCCUUUUGCAGGUACCAUAUGAAUAAGGACCGGCUAAUUCCGUGCCAGCAGCCGCGGUAAUACGGAAGGUUCGGGCGUUAUCCGGAUUUAUUGGGUUUAAAGGGAGCGUAGGCCGUUUGGUAAGCGUGUUGUGAAAUGUAGGAGCUCAACUUCUAGAUUGCAGCGCGAACUGUCAGACUUGAGGGCGCACAACGUAGGCGGAAUUCAUGGUGUAGCGGUGGAAUGCUUAGAUAUCAUGAAGAACUCCGAUUGCGAAGGCAGCUUACGGGAGCGCAACUGACGCUGAAGCUCGAAAGCGUGGGUAGCAAACAGG
Molecule: ribosomal RNA, 424 nt
Filed under: Verrucomicrobiota bacterium
Lineage: Bacteria; Pseudomonadati; Verrucomicrobiota
Description: Verrucomicrobia bacterium partial 16S ribosomal RNA
Rfam family: Bacterial small subunit ribosomal RNA
Source: RNAcentral